RNAcentral lists this ribosomal RNA (398 nucleotides) under uncultured bacterium. Its description in RNAcentral is "partial 16S ribosomal RNA". It matches the Rfam family "Bacterial small subunit ribosomal RNA", at positions 523 to 918 of the family's 1533-position model. The record is from RNAcentral.
AUACGUAGGGUGCGAGCGUUGUCCGGAAUUACUGGGCGUAAAGAGCUCGUAGGUGGUUUGUCGCGUCGUCUGUGAAAUUCCGGGGCUUAACUCCGGGCGUGCAGGCGAUACGGGCAGAACUUGAGUACUGUAGGGGAGACUGGAAUUCAUGGUGUAGCGGCGAAAUGCGCAGAUAUCAGGAGGAACACCGGUGGCGAAGGCGGGUCUAUGGGCAGUAACUGACGCUGAGGAGCGAAAGCAUGGGUAGCGAACAGGAUUAGAUACCCUGGUAGUCCAUGCCGUAAACGGUGGGCGCUAGGUGUAGGGGUCUUCCACGACUUCUGUGCCGUAGCUAACGCAUUAAGCGCCCCGCCUGGGGAGUACGGCCGCAAGGCUAAAACUCAAAUGAAUUGACGGGG